UCAUUAAUAAUUUAUAAAAAUCUUGAUUUUGUAAAUCAAAAAUGA
RNAcentral lists this transfer RNA (45 nucleotides) under Peripatoides sympatrica. RNAcentral's name for it is "tRNA-Thr". The record is from RNAcentral. Lineage: Eukaryota; Metazoa; Onychophora; Udeonychophora; Euonychophora; Peripatopsidae.